CAGCCGCGCGGGAAUACGUAGGGUGCGAGCGUUAAUCGGAAUUACUGGGCGAAAAGCGUGCGCAGGCGGUUGUGUAAGACAGGUGUGAAAUCCCCGGGCUUAACCUGGGAACUGCGCUUGUGACUGCACAGCUAGAGUAUGGCAGAGGGGGGUGGAAUUCCACGUGUAGCAGUGAAAUGCGUAGAGAUGUGGAGGAACACCGAUGGCGAAGGCAGCCCCCUGGGCCAAUACUGACGCUCAUGCACGAAAGCGUGGGGAGCAAACAGGAUUAGAUACCCCCGUAGUCCCUGUCUCUUAUACA
Molecule: ribosomal RNA, 301 nt
Filed under: uncultured bacterium
Lineage: Bacteria
Description: partial 16S ribosomal RNA
Rfam family: Bacterial small subunit ribosomal RNA
Source: RNAcentral